ACUGCUCAGUAACACGUGGACAACCUACCCUGAGGACGGGGAUAAACCCGGGAAACUGGGUAUAAUACCCGAUAGAUCUAGGAAGCUGGAAUGCUCUUAGGUCCAAAGUUCCGACGCCUCAGGAUGGGUCUGCGGCCUAUCAGGGUAGUAGUGGGUGUAAAGUACCUACUAGCCUACGACGGGUACGGGUUGUGAGAGCAAGAGCCCGGAGAUGGAUUCUGAGACACGAAUCCAGGCCCUACGGGGUGCAGCAGGCGCGAAACCUUUACAAUGCUGGCAACAGCGAUAAGGGGACCUCGAGUGCCGCGAUACAAUCGCGGCUGUCUAGUUGCCUAAAAAGCAAUUGAUAGCAAGGGCCGGGCAAGACCGGUGCCAGCCGCCGCGGUAGCACCGGCGGCUCGAGUGGUAACCGCUAUUAUUGGGUCUAAAGGGUCUGUAGCCGGYUUGGUUAGUCCCUUGAGAAAUCUGGCCGCCUAACGGUCAGGCGUUCAGGGGAUACUGCUAAAGCUCGAGGCCGGGAGAGGUGAGAGGUACUUCAGGGGUAGGGGUGAAAUCUUGUAAUCCUUGAAGGACCACCAGUGGCGAAGGCGUCUCACCAGAACGGAUCUGACGGCAAGGGACGAAAGCUAGGGGCACGAACCGGAUUAGAUACCCGGGUAGUCCUAGCCGUAAACGAUACUCGCUAGGUGUCGGCCACGGUGCGACCGUGGUCGGUGCCGUAGGGAAGCCGUGAAGCGAGCCACCUGGGAAGUACGGCCGCAAGGCUGAAACUUGAAGGAAUUGGCGGGGGAGCAC
Molecule: ribosomal RNA, 795 nt
Filed under: uncultured archaeon
Lineage: Archaea
Description: bacterial SSU rRNA
Rfam family: Archaeal small subunit ribosomal RNA
Source: RNAcentral